GAUGAACGCUGGCGGCGUGCUUAACACAUGCAAGUCGAACGGAAAGGCCCAAGCUUGCUUGGGUACUCGAGUGGCGAACGGGUGAGUAACACGUGGGUGAUCUGCCCUGCACUUCGGGAUAAGCCUGGGAAACUGGGUCUAAUACCGGAUAGGACGAUGGUUUGGAUGCCAUUGUGGAAAGUUUUUUCGGUGUGGGAUGAGCUCGCGGCCUAUCAGCUUGUUGGUGGGGUAAUGGCCUACCAAGGCGUCGACGGGUAGCCGGCCUGAGAGGGUGUACGGCCACAUUGGGACUGAGAUACGGCCCAGACUCCUACGGGAGGCAGCAAUGGGGAAUAUUGCACAAUGGGCGCAGGCCUGAUGCAGCGACGCCGCGUGGGGGAUGACGGCCUUCGGGUUGUAAACUCCUUUCGCUAGGGACGAAGCGUUUUUGUGACGGUACCUGGAGAAGAAGCACCGGCUAACUACGUG
This 468-nucleotide ribosomal RNA is filed under the name uncultured bacterium. Its description in RNAcentral is "partial 16S ribosomal RNA". It matches the Rfam family "Bacterial small subunit ribosomal RNA", at positions 28 to 507 of the family's 1533-position model. The record is from RNAcentral.